UUUCCGUAGGUGAACCUGCGGAAGGAUCAUUACUGAGUGAGGGCCCCUCGGGGUCCAACCUCCCACCCGUGUUUAACGAACCGUGUUGCUUCGGCGGGCCCGCCUCACGGCCGCCGGGGGGCAUCUGCCCCCGGGCCCGCGCCCGCCGAAGACACCUGCGAACGCUGUCUGAAGUAUGCAGUCUGAGACAAUUAUUAAAUUAAUUAAAACUUUCAACAACGGAUCUCUUGGUUCCG
RNAcentral lists this unclassified non-coding RNA (236 nucleotides) under plant metagenome. RNAcentral describes it as "partial contains small subunit ribosomal RNA, internal transcribed spacer 1, and 5.8S ribosomal RNA". The record is from RNAcentral.